UACAGAGGCCCCAAGCGUUACUGAGAAUCACUGGGUUUAAAGGGUGCGUAGGUGGUCCGUUAAGUUCGUUGUGAAAGCCCUGGGCUCAACCCAGGAACUGCUUCGAAUACUGGCGGACUUGAGGCUAGUAUGGGUCACUGGAACUGACGGUGGAGCGGUGAAAUGCGUAGAUAUCGUCAGGAACGCCAAUGGUGAAGACAGGUGACUGGGCUAGAUCUGACACUGAGGCACGAAAGCGUGGGGAGCGAACGGG
This 253-nucleotide ribosomal RNA is filed under the name uncultured bacterium. RNAcentral's name for it is "partial 16S ribosomal RNA". It matches the Rfam family "Bacterial small subunit ribosomal RNA", at positions 524 to 776 of the family's 1533-position model. The record is from RNAcentral.